GGGGAUAUGGCUCAGUUGGUAGAGUGCUUGCCUCGCGUGCACAGGGCCCUGGGUUUAAUCCCCAGCACCACCA
Ictidomys tridecemlineatus (thirteen-lined ground squirrel) is the source of this 73-nucleotide non-coding RNA. NCBI's taxonomy places the organism in Eukaryota, Metazoa, Chordata, Mammalia, Rodentia, Sciuridae. The record is from Rfam.